RNAcentral lists this ribosomal RNA (253 nucleotides) under uncultured bacterium. RNAcentral's name for it is "partial 16S ribosomal RNA". It matches the Rfam family "Bacterial small subunit ribosomal RNA", at positions 524 to 776 of the family's 1533-position model. The record is from RNAcentral.
UACGUAGGGUGCAAGCGUUGCCCGGAUUUAUUGGGCGUAAAGGGCGCGUAGGCGGCUCUGCACGUCCGUUGUGAAAUCGCCCGGCUCAACUGGGCGGGGUCAGCGGAUACGGCGGAGCUUGAGCAAGCUAGGGGGCAAUGGAAUUCCCGGUGUAGUGGUGGAAUGCGUAGAUAUCAGGAGGAACACCGGUGGCGAAGGCGGGUCUCUGGGCAGUAACUGACGCUGAGGAGCGAAAGCGUGGGGAGCGAACAGG